Long non-coding RNA from Patella vulgata (common limpet), 1589 nucleotides. RefSeq lists it as uncharacterized. The transcript has 3 exons. NCBI's taxonomy places the organism in Eukaryota, Metazoa, Mollusca, Gastropoda, Patellidae. The record is from RefSeq and is a predicted model, not a curated record.
AAGACUAGUAAUUAUUUCCCCUUAUUUCAUGAUGGACGAAUGUAGUGCGAGUUAUAAAUAGACAAUUUUUCCCUUAAUUUUUUUCUCCCCUCUUCCUGCAUUUUUGGGUUGACUUUUUGGUCUAGAAUUGGAGAAAAGGGAUCAAAUUUGCAAUUUCAUAGCAGUUUUGGGUAAUACUGAUGAUAUUACAGCGGAGGGAUAGGGGGUGUAAAGUGUCUUUCUGCAGAGCAGUCAUUGUGUCGGAAGUGAGAUUUUCACCCCAGUCAACUUCAAAUCCGUGUAGCAAAAAAUCUAAAUGGUCAACCCCCUACAAAAUUAUGAUGAGGAGAUUGCCAAAUGUUGUCCCCAUUGUGCCUAUAAAGAUUGGAACCAACGGAAUGUUGAGAAAAAAGCUACAGCCUGUGAUGUUACAGCCAUUUAACAUUGAAGUCAAUGGGCAAAUAAUUGCUAGUCUGAGUCCUGAUGAGAUAAAGAAACAUGGCCGACUCGGGAUGUUGAUAUUUUUUCAAGGGCUUAUUUCCUGAAGUUUUGAAUGGAAAGUGUCAGAAAUAGUAAGAAUACUGCUUUUUUAUUGCCCAGCAGUGCCAGGGCAAUGUUUCAUAGAGUGGAAUGAUUGACCUCAACACAAGUAUUAAAAAAAAAGAAGCAAAACAGGUCUACAUCUCAAAACCUGAUCUCUUCCUGGACUGGCUUUAGGAGAACGAUGAUGCAUAUCAAUUUCAUCCCUGAUCUCUAUGACACCUGUGGUGGAAGUGGAGGGCAAAUCGUAAUCAGUUUGGGACCUCUGUAAACUUUGCUUUUUGGUGAUGACUUAAUUUCCGAGCUUGAAAAGGACGCUUGUGUGUUUAUCAUGGCCUCUCAUAUUGGAAGAUAACAUUAAUGGCUUGUGUGUUGAUCGACGGUUGUGCAUAUCUCUUGGUCAGGAAAGUUGUAGGCACCAUCGCCAUUGUAAAUCAUUUGACAGGCUCGAGUGAACGGGGCGACCUAUGAUUGGUCAGCAAUGUAUCAGAUUCCAUACCGGGGGGUGGGGAUGAAAAAACUGUUGUAGUGUUACAUAAUCAGAUUAUUUCAACUUACUUAUCCUGUGGAAAUACAGCUAUAUAGGAGAUAUUUUGAAAUUCAUAGGCACUGCAUGUUUCAACAUUUUAGAUUUGACCACAAUUUGGCACUUAAAACUAUGUUAACAGAGAAAAACUGUGUGGUUUUCGAUGAAAGUGUUAAAAGUCUAAUAUUGCAUCAUGAUUACUGUUUUAAAGUAUUUUCGUGUUUGAUUUAUAUUGAAUUCAUCUCAUCUUUUUGAAGAAUGCAUUUAUGUUCAAAAAUAAAAAUGUUCUGUGGAAUUCAAAAUUCAUGUGCUUUUAAAUUAUCAGAUUCCAAACUGGGGGGUAGGGAUGAAAAAGCUGUUGUAGUGUUACAUAAUCAGAUUAUUUCAACUUACUUAUCCUAUGGAAAUACAGCUAUAUAGGAGAUAUUUUAAAAUUGAUAGGCACUGCAUGUUUCAACAUUUUAGAUUUGACCACAAUUUGGCACUUGAAACUACGUUAACAGAGAAAAACUGUGUGGUUUUCGAUGAAAGUGUUAAAAAGUCU